GCUGGGCAUGGUAGCGCAUGCCUAUAAUCCCAGAAGUUUGGGAGGCUGAGGCAGGAGGAUUGGGAGUUCAAAGCUGGUCGCAGCAACUUAGUGAGGCAUUUAGCAACUCAGUGAGACCCUGUCUCUA
This 127-nucleotide small RNA is filed under the name Marmota monax (woodchuck). Lineage: Eukaryota; Metazoa; Chordata; Mammalia; Rodentia; Sciuridae. The record is from RNAcentral.